UACGUAGUCCCUAAGUGGUUCCCACUUGUAUUGGGCCUAAAACACCUGUAGCCUGUAGUUCAAGUCUUUCGUGAAAUCAGCUCGCUCAACGAGUCGAAUUGCGAAAGAUACUGUUCUGCUUGGGGAAUUGAGACGUAAAGAGAAUUUUUGGGGUAACGGUGAAAUGUGAUGAUCCCAAAAAGACUUCCAGUAGCGAAGGCGCUUUACGAGAAAUAUCCUGACGGUGAGAGAUGAAAGCUGGGGGAGCGACCCG
Molecule: ribosomal RNA, 253 nt
Filed under: uncultured archaeon
Lineage: Archaea
Description: partial 16S ribosomal RNA
Rfam family: Archaeal small subunit ribosomal RNA
Source: RNAcentral